GAGAGAGAGGGAGAGAGAGAGAGAGAGGGAAGAGAGAGAGAGAGAGAGAGGGAAGAGAGAGAGAAGAGAGAGAGAGAGGGAAGAGAGAGAGAGAGAGGGAAGAGAGAGAGAGGGACGAGAGAGAGAGGGGGAAGAGAGAGAGAGAGGGACGAGAGAGAGAGAGGGACGAGAGAGUUAAAGUUAGAGGGAAGAGAGAGAGAGAGAGCGAGAGGGAAGAGAGAGAUAGCGAGAGGGAAGAGAGAGAUAGCGAGAGGGAAGAGAGAGAUAGCGAGAGGGAAGAGAGAGAGAGCGAGAGAGGUGAGUGAGAGAGAGAGGGGGA
This is a long non-coding RNA of Oncorhynchus tshawytscha (Chinook salmon), 319 nucleotides long. The record is from Ensembl. NCBI's taxonomy places the organism in Eukaryota, Metazoa, Chordata, Actinopteri, Salmoniformes, Salmonidae.